Long non-coding RNA from Populus nigra (black poplar), 547 nucleotides. RefSeq lists it as uncharacterized. The transcript is spliced from 2 exons. The record is from RefSeq and is a predicted model, not a curated record. NCBI's taxonomy places the organism in Eukaryota, Viridiplantae, Streptophyta, Magnoliopsida, Malpighiales, Salicaceae.
AAAAGAAAAAGAAAAUGGUGGAAAGAUGCUUGUCCUUGGACAUUGUUUGAAGGCAAGGAAUGGAAUAAGGAAUACAUUCUCUCUUGUCUCCUUCAGUAAGUUUGGUACUGAUUCAGCCCCCACAGAAAAAAAUAGAAAAAGGGCCCCAGUUCUUUUCAUUCUUCAAUCGGCACAAGACAGUUGGCCCCGCACCGACGAAUACUAAGCACUUGGGACUUGUACUUACUUCCUUGCAUUUGAUGAAGGACAUGACAGUUCUUGCCCGGAGAUGACAGCUUGCCCUUGACUGCGCCUUCAUUUGCCAGAUUCUCUUGUUUGAAAGAAGUAAUGGAUGAUCGUCCAUGAAUGUAUCGAGAUUCACCCCAAGGAUUGCAGAUGAUGAAUUAUUGUAAUGAGAUUCAGGGUUUUAUUAAUUACACAAUAUCUUAUCUAAGAAAUAUUAGUGGAGGUGGUAUUAGAAGUUCAUACAAGAGGUGUAAAAAUAAAAAAGUUUCUCAAUUCAGAUGUUGUAACGAUACAUCUUCUAUAAAAAGAGUUCAUGAAGCAA